This 253-nucleotide ribosomal RNA is filed under the name uncultured bacterium. RNAcentral describes it as "partial 16S ribosomal RNA". It matches the Rfam family "Bacterial small subunit ribosomal RNA", at positions 524 to 776 of the family's 1533-position model. RNAcentral also lists the same sequence under 1 other name. The record is from RNAcentral.
GACGAACCGUGCGAACGUUGUUCGGAAUCACUGGGCUUAAAGGGCGCGUAGGCGGGCCCACAAGUCCGGGGUGAAAUCUUUCGGCUUAACCGGAAAAGUGCCUUGGAUACUGGGGGCCUUGAGGGAGGCAGGGGCGGAUGGAACUUCCGGUGGAGCGGUGAAAUGCGUUGAUAUCGGAAGGAACGCCGGUGGCGAAAGCGAUCCGCUGGACCUCUUCUGACGCUGAGGCGCGAAAGCCAGGGGAGCAAACGGG